UUUUUUUUUUUUUUUGUUUUUUCUAGGGCUGCACCUGUGGCAUAUGGAGGUUCCCAGGCUAGGGGUCUAAUUGGAGCUGUAGCUGCUGGCCUACACCAGAGCCACAGAAACUUGGGAUCCCAACCACAUCUGCGACCUACACCACAGCUCAUGGCAAUGCUGCGUCCUUAACUCACUGAGAGAGGCCAGGGAUUGAACCCACAAUGUCAUGGUUCCUAGUCAGAUUCAUUAACCACUGAGCCACGACGGGAACUCCGAUUUCUUCUUGAUGACACAGAAAAAUGCCACUGUUUUAUCACAUGUGACUCUGGUGAUUUACAGCUAUAGGGAAGAAUUAUUUGUGGAUCUCAUCCUUUUGUUGAGGAGUAAUCCCUCUUUUGUGGGGGCAGUUUCCCUUUCUCCACAUCCUAUAUUAUCUCCUAAAUCGGGAUGAUGUUUUAAAAAUCAUAAUAUACUUGGUAUUAGUACUUUGUAGCUUUGUUCAAAGACAUCAUAUAGGUCAGUAUAUAUGUUUUAUGCUAACCAAAAUCCUACAUCUAAUUUAUUUUUCUACCAGGAAUCUUUCUUUUUAAAUGAUUUCAGGCCAUGAAUAAGAGAUUUAGCUUUUAAUUUAUUUAUUUCUCUUAUUUAUAUCUAUUUUUUCCAUUGUGUGUUUCCUUUAAGUAGUAUUUUCCUGUAUUUGGAGUCUAUUAUUGCAACUGAUUUUUAUAUUACUUUGUGGGAAACUGGCAGGAGAAUGAUCUGAAUGUUGUAAAAUAAAAUAAUUAAGUAAAUAGCUUCCGUAAGAUCAGUGAUUUGAUUUAUUGAGAGAAUGAAUAUAUACUUUGGAUUGUCAAAAUAUCUGCUAAUCAAUAGUUUCCAAUCUUGAUUGAUAUGAAUAGUGAACAAAGUAGAUUGUUGUCUGAAGAUAUAUGGAUAGUAAAUUAGAUCCUCUACAAUGAUAAUACUUUUUUCUGAAUGUUAGAAGGAUAACCUUUUAUACAGCAUUUUGAAUUAAAUUCUUUAAGUGGAAAAUAUUUGAAUAAAGAUCAACUUCCUAUAAUGAACACUACUCCUUUAAUGAACACAAUUUGAGAUUAAAAAAAAGUAAACAUUUUAUGACUUUUCUUCUUGACUAUAAAAAUAUUUCACCUCUAGGUACAAAAUACAGAGGAUGUUGGUCUGGGGGGAAGUGCAUAUGGGGAAUUCAGCAUAGAUAAUAUCAAUGCAUCUUUUUAUUAGAUUCUGAACACCACCUGAAGAUAAUUUGGAAGGAGUAGCAGCAGAAAAUUAAGUCCUGUAAAUGCUGCCUGGCAAAUUAAAAGACAUAAUUGAUUAUAUUAGCUUAUUUAAGUGCUUCUAAUUGCCAGAGAUAGGGUUUGUUUGGGAUAGCUUUUCAACUUGCCAAGCAAAGUUUACACUGUCAACAAGCAAGGAAUAGAAGUUGCCAAAGGGCUCUUUUAAACAUUCCAACUCUCAGGUGUUUAAUUUUAUUUGAUACUUGGUUUCUGAUGCCAGGAUCUCUUCCGGAGUCUACGGUAAGUGGGAGAAUAGUAAAAGCUUCGUUUUGGACUUGGAAGGGGUCCCCAUUGCCCAUUUAUUCUUCCACUUUGCAGCCAGCCAUUCUAACCCAUAUCUGGCAAGGCAAUUCUAUUGCCUUUUGAGUUACUGAUAGUGACCGUCACAUCUCAUACUCAGAGAUUCCUGGAGCUGGGUUUUUUUGGUUAGCAGUGAGGAAUACCAUUCUACAUCUUCUGAGACACAGAGGUGGCUGCUCUGAGGUGCAGAGAAAUCACUGUCCUUGAAUCAGCACCUAAGUGCUCUGGGACUGGCCAGGUGGUACCUCAUUCCCUGAUACAAGUGGGUGAAGAUUUGGAAAAGCACCCCCAUCAUUCCUGCCCACUUCUGUAAAGCUCAUAAUUAUACCCACACAUUACCUACACAUUACCUAGAGCUAUUAAGGAUGGACAAAUAGAGGACUCAUAGAUCCCUUCCACCUGGAUGAAGCUGCAUUUAUUUUCUGAAUACAGAGUCCCUCUAUUAAUGAAUCAAUACAUAUUUAUUGGGCACUUUUUAUGCACACAUCACCAUUCUAGAUCUCUAGGGAAAGAGACAGAGUAUCAGUCAAACUUUUCAUCCUCAAGGAGUUGACAAUACAUUAGUGAGACAGUACAUAUUCAACCUGAAAACAGCUACAUAUAUGUCAGUUAACACACCUUAGGGACUUGUUCUGAAUUCUGCUAAACUGUAAGUACUGAGAAGGUAAGGGCUGAAAACUCCAGAAGGCUAACUUGGGCUUGCUCCCUUGUGUGUCCUCGGCAUCUAUGCCAAGAGACAACGUGGAACAUGAAGUCACUGUGCUUAGCUGUUGAGAAAUUUCAAAAUGCAACAACUGAUGUCCCUAUCGUUGUCCUUGUCCACCUGGGCGGAUGAAGCAGUAAAUAGUCAUUGUCAUGCUAUUUCCUGGUCUGCCACCUCUGCUUGGAAAUAUCACUUACUGGAGGAAAGGAACGGAGACAGAGCCAAGAAAAGUUUUGAUGUCUUGUACAUGCUCUCACAUUUGUAUGCUGGGGCUGGUACCAGACUGCCCCAAUUCAGAUGAAACUGUGACUGUGAAUGAGUAUUUAAAAGCAUAAAUAAUGUUCAUCACCAGCAUUGAUGAGCACUGUGGACCAGGCACUUGACUAAGCAUUUUGUAGACUGAUUUGUUUUAUUCCUAGGACUUUAGGAAGUCAACUAUUUUUAGUAUCAUUAUUUUACAGAUGGGAGUAAGGAAGUUCAAGAGGUGAAGUCACUUGUCCAAUAUCACAUAACUAAUGACUACUGGCAGAACAAGGAUGUGAGCCUAAGUCAGUACUCAAGUUCUCUACCACUACUUUAACCUCUUCUAAAGCAUCUUCUUACUUCAAGAGACAGCANAGGUUGCUCUGGCUGCUCAUGGAUUAUUUGCUGGCUCCGUACUUGUGGUUGAGAGUCCUUCCAGAUACCAGAUUCCUCCUCUCUCCUCAAUAUCCCAUCACCAUGUGUUUCACUGUGGACUCUUUGUGGCACACUGACUGUAGCAGCCUGGCCUUGGGGAAGUUACUCAAAAUUUCUAAGCUUUUGCUUCCUCAUGUCUUAAGCAAUUUAGUAGUGCUUAUACAGUGGGGUGAUGGUGAAGAUCAAGUAGUGCUAAUAACAUGAUUAACAUACUCUUAGGCACAAAGAAAACAGCCAAUGAACAGUUGACUAGUAUGAAUGAGUGCCUGUCUUUUUGGUUUUUUUGAGAUAUGCUCAUGGCAUUCAGUUCCCUGGGCUGGGGAUUGAACCCAUGCCACAACUGUAACCAGAGCCACAGCAGUGACAAUGCCAGAUCCUUAACCUGCUGAACCACAAGGAAACUCUAAUGCCUAUUUUUUGAGUAGCUUUUUCUCUGUCUGAGUAACUGGAUUUCUGCCCACUUACUACCAGUGUUCUGAGACCAUGGUCUGGCUUAGCCUUUGGACAAUGAGGUGAGAAGUGGGUGGCUGAGGUCCUGGGUGUCUAGACCAUUUGGAUCUUCUUGUGGUGCCUCUAAGGUUUCCCAGAAGGUGGUCCUGCUUAGGAGCAGCAAUACUCUUGGAUAAAAUGACCUCUGGAGUUCCUGUUGUGGCUCAGAGGGUUAAGUAUCAGACUAGUGUCCACGAAGAUGCGUGUUUGAUUCCUGGCCUUGCUCAGUGGGUUAAGGAUCUGGUAUGGCUGUGGCCAGUGGCUGCAGCUCCGAUUCGACCCUUAGCCCUGGAACUUCCAUAUGGAGUUUAGCCCUAACAACAACAACAACAACAACAACAACAAACAACAAACCUCUCACACAGAAACACUCAUCUCACCCAUCUGCUCUGUGGAACUGAUUCGUUUGGAACAACAGAAGCCUCGGCUGACCAAUCUUGGGAGCCACUGCCUUUGGGCCACCCUGACUCUGCCAUCUUCCUAUUUCCACCCCUUUGCUAUGGCCUCACUGAGGCUACUUCAGUUACGCUAACUAAAAUCAGAACAAUGUUAUUUCCUGCCUUGCUCCUUGCGACUUUGUCCCUCUGCUGAUCUGACCUGCCACAGUUUUGCUUUAAUGGGAGGGCUUAACACUGUGUCCAGAACCAUCCUCUCUAGCCUGUGAUCCUUUUCCCGCCUGGACCCAGUCACGGCACUUGCUACUCUUCAGUUCUUGGUACCUGCUCUGCCUUUAACACUUCCUUCUCCAAAGGCCUCCCUUAUUCUUUGUUUCUCUCAGGUCUUCUCACCUUUCUUUCACUUCAAACUGAGCCCUUUUGUGGCCAUGCUGCAGCCACCUCAGGUAACCUGAUUGCAAGAGGGUGGGAAGCAAUUCCUUCUGCAGUGACCUGAGCAAGGCCAUCUUCCUUGGCCAUAUGUGCAGAACUGUGCUCAUUAUGACUGUUUUACCAUAAUAAAUCUUGGUGCCUCAAUAGUGAUAUAUAGUAAAGCCUCGUUAAUUAAAGCCCCACUGAUUCAGAAUUUAAGAUAAUUUGUUCACCGGCCAAGUUGAAAUUUAUAUUUGUUCUAUCUAUGAAAAAAAGGUUCAUUAAGUAAGUCAAUAAAGUAAAGAAGAUUGCAAGAAGCCCGUUUAAUUUAAUUAAGAAAACAAACUAUUUUCAGGCACUCCGUAAUACCAUUGACUUAUAAACAAUGUGCUCAUUACAAAUGACUUUUAUGUGUUCAUUAAAGCAUAUUGAGGGAGAUUCCUGUUUGACAGCUUAAAAAAUGAUUAGUUCAGGUAAAUGUAUUUAAUGGAAGACAAUGAACUGCUUUUAAAAAUACUCUGUGUCAUUUUUGGUGUCUCGUGUAACAGGACAUAGAGCAAGGUGUGGGUUGAGGCAUUCCUGCUGUUGCUCAGCAGGUUAAGAACCUGACUAGUACCCAUGAGGAUGCAGGUUUGAUUCCUGGCCUCACAAAAUGGGUUAAGGAUCUGGUGUUGCCACAAGCUGCGGCAUAGAUUGCAGAUGCAGCUCGGAUCUGGUGUUGCUAUGGCUGUGGUGUUGGCUGGCAGCUGCAGCUCCAACUCAUCCCCUAGGAUGAGGAACUUCCGUAUGCUGCAAGUGUGGCCCUUUAUAAAAAAAAAGGUGUGGAUCAAAUGCUUUCACUGACAUGUGGAAUCUGAAAAAAGGACAGACGGAACUUCUUUGCAGAACAGAUGCUGACUCACAGACAUUGAAAAACUUACGGUCUCCGGAGGAGACAGUUUGGGGGGUGGGGGGAUGUGCUUGGGCUGUGGGAUGGAAAUCCUGUGAAAUCAGAUUGUUAUGAUCAUUAUACAACUACAGAUGUGAUAAAUUCAUUUGAGUAAUAAAAAAUGAAAAAAAAUAUCUAACACAAUGCCUAAAAUUAAAAAAAAACAACUAAAUAUAAUAAAGCGCUACAGAUUCAAAAAAAUAAACUUUAUAAUUCUAAAAAAAAAAAGGUGUGGGUCGAGGGGAGAGCAGACUUGGGAAUCAGAUGGACUUGAGUUUUCAUCUUGGCUCUUCCUGUGCAUUUGGUUGUCGACUGAAAAAAAGGCACAACCUAAAAGUUGAAAAUUUUGGGUCACUCAACAGACCUGCUGAAGGCUCAAGCCCAAGAGGCAGCCUGUCACGUAGCUACUCCUAAGAGAUGAGGGAGCAGCCAGGAUAUAUAGGGGUUUUGGCAACAAAAACUAAGUAGUUGGAACAUCAAAAGAUUACUGUUAAUUAAAGAAAACCAGAUGUCUCAAGUUAAUGAAUGCAGCUCUUUUCUAUACAUGGGAAGUUUGCAAGA
This 5742-nucleotide long non-coding RNA is filed under the name Sus scrofa (pig). RNAcentral's name for it is "lncRNA (ENSSSCG00035019686.1)". The record is from RNAcentral. Lineage: Eukaryota; Metazoa; Chordata; Mammalia; Artiodactyla; Suidae.